RNAcentral lists this ribosomal RNA (253 nucleotides) under uncultured bacterium. RNAcentral's name for it is "partial 16S ribosomal RNA". It matches the Rfam family "Bacterial small subunit ribosomal RNA", at positions 524 to 776 of the family's 1533-position model. The record is from RNAcentral.
UACGGAGGUCCCAAGCGUUGUUCGGAUUCACUGGGCGUAAAGGGUGCGUAGGUGGUCGGGUAAGUCUGAUGUGAAAUCUCCGAGCUUAACUCGGAAAUGGCAUUGGAUACUAUUCGGCUAGAGGGUUUGAGGGGGGACUGGAAUACUUGGUGUAGCAGUGAAAUGCGUAGAUAUCAAGUGGAACACCAGUGGCGAAGGCGAGUCCCUGGAAAACUCCUGACACUGAGGCACGAAAGCUAGGGGAGCAAACAGG